RNAcentral lists this long non-coding RNA (814 nucleotides) under Gossypium barbadense (sea-island cotton). RNAcentral's name for it is "long non-coding RNA (GBAR_LNC002813)". Lineage: Eukaryota; Viridiplantae; Streptophyta; Magnoliopsida; Malvales; Malvaceae. The record is from RNAcentral.
AUUUUAAAUUCUUUUCGAGUUUUUGAUUUUAGACGUUAAGACUGUAAGGCCUAAUUUUGGCCCGGGGCCCGUACAAAUAUAAACUAAAUAAAAAAUAAAAGUCCAAAAUGCAUUAGUCUAUUUACAAACUAAACUCAGACCCAAACAAGCCCAACAACCAACCAUAACCCAAAUUCAAAACCUAAAAUCUAGACCCAAAAAUACAAGCCCGAUAGGCCCAAUAUUUUAAUUCUCAGGAAACCUUAGGGUUUCCACCUUUGCGCCGCAGCCUUCAGCCGCCGUACAGCCCCAGCGCCACUCGUGCCUCCAAGUCAACGCGCCGUAUACCACCCGAGUGCCUGCACACACUCCGUACCUGCAAAAAAAACAAGUAAACAGCAGCAGAGCAACAGCCAAUACGAAGAACAAAGAAAAAAAUUAUAUUUUUUAUUUUUUUGAACAUUCGGCUAUAAAGCCUUGAACAAUCCAUUGUAAGUUUCUUUACGGAGAUGAUAAAAAGAGAAAUAUACUGAGAAAAUUAAAGGUGAUUCACUCACUAAUCCUUUGUUCUUCUUUUUUCGUUUUUAUUUCUUGCAUUAUUUAGAAUCUAUCUAACAAAUACAAAAAGGGAAGGCCUUCUCACCUGUUGACCAGCGUCGACCUAGUCGGUGGCUGCUUCUCUAGUUCAAAGGAAUACGGAUCCCUGGGGAUCCGUUUAAAGCUGUGACGGAGACUGGGGUGCACUUGACACCACUGUCGCUCGCAGGUCGGCCCAGAGAAGAGAGAGGGUCAAGAGGAUUUUAAGGGGAAAGAUUUUUAAGAUUUUUUAAAUCUG